GCUUGGAAGCAGCCAUUCAUUUAAAGAGUGCGUAACAGCUCACUAGUCGAGGAGUCCGGCGUGGAUAAUACUCGGGCAUAAACUGUUUACCGAAGCUAUGGAUGUAGAAAUACAUGGUAGGGGAGCAUUCCAACGGCGUCGAAGGUGAAGGAUGACCUUUGCUGGAGCUUUUGGAAACGCAAAUGUAGGUAUAAGUAACGAUAAAGGAGGUGAGAAACCUCCUCGCCGAAAGACUAAGGUUUCCUGAUCAACGUUAAUCGGAUCAGGGUAAGUCGGGACCUAAGGUUAAGCCGAACGGCGAUACCGAUGGAAGAAUGGUUUAAUAUUCCCAUACUACUUUAUGGAGCGAUGUGGAGACGGAGAAGUGAAAGUCCUGCCAUCUGACGGAAUAGGUGGUUGAAGAGUGUAGAUGUAGAUUCCUGUAGGCAAAUCCGCAGGGAGAGUCGACCUUGACAGUAUGCCGCGUGCUUGCACAAGGCAAAAUGGACGUAAUCAGGCUCCCAAGAAAAUCCGCUAAGCAUAUUCAUAAAGUACCCGUACCGUAAACGGACACACGUAGUUGGGUUGAAAAUACUGAGGCGCUCGAGUGAUUCACGGUUAAGGAACUAGGCAAAUUGACCCUGUAACUUCGGGAUAAAGGGUCCCAACGAGAGUUGGGCGCAGAGAAUAGGUCCAGGCAACUGUUUAACAAAAACACAGGGCUGUGCUAAAUUGAAAGAUUACGUAUACAGCCUGACACCUGCCCGGUGCUGGAAGGUUAAGAGGAGAUGUCAUCGCAAGAGAAGCAUUGAAUUGAAGCCCCAGUAAACGGCGGCCGUAACUAUAACGGUCCUAAGGUAGCGAAAUUCCUUGUCGGGUAAGUUCCGACCUGCACGAAUGGUGUAAUGAUCUGGACACUGUCUCAACCGUGAGCUCAGUGAAAUUGUAGUAUCGGUGAAGAUGCCGAUUACCCGCGAUGGGACGAAAAGACCCCGUGAACCUUUACUAUAGCUUAACAUUGAAUUUGGGUAAUUGAUGUGUAGGAUAGGCCGGAGACUUUGAAGCAGGUACGCCAGUAUUUGUGGAGUCGCUGUUGAAAUACGGCCCUUUGAUUAUUUGAGUUCUAACUCGUAGAUGCGAGGACACUGUUUGGUGGGUAGUUUGACUGGGGUGGUCGCCUCCAAAAGUGUAACGGAGGCUUCUAAAGGUGCCCUCAGGACGAUUGGUAACCGUCCGUAGAGUGUAAUGGCAUAAGGGCGCUUGACUGGGAGACAGACAAGUCGAUCAGGUAGGAAACUAGAGCAUAGUGAUCCGGUGUUUCCGUAUGGAA
Molecule: ribosomal RNA, 1309 nt
Filed under: human gut metagenome
Description: bacterial LSU rRNA
Rfam family: Bacterial large subunit ribosomal RNA
Source: RNAcentral